GACGAACGCUGGCGGCGUGCUUAACACAUGCAAGUCGAACGGAAAGGCCCUGCUUGCAGGGUACUCGAGUGGCGAACGGGUGAGUAACACGUGGGUGAUCUGCCCUGCACUUCGGGAUAAGCCUGGGAAACUGGGUCUAAUACCGGAUAGGAGCCAUUUUUAGUGUGAUGGUUGGAAAGUUUUUUCGGUGUAGGAUGAGCUCGCGGCCUAUCAGCUUGUUGGUGGGGUAAUGGCCUACCAAGGCGGCGACGGGUAGCCGGCCUGAGAGGGUGGACGGCCACAGUGGGACUGAGAUACGGCCCAGACUCCUACGGGAGGCAGCAGUGGGGAAUAUUGCACAAUGGGCGCAAGCCUGAUGCAGCGACGCCGCGUGGGGGAUGACGGCCUUCGGGUUGUAAACUCCUUUCGCUAGGGACAAAGCUUUUUGUGACGGUACCUAGAUAAGAAGCACCGGCUAACUACGUG
This 465-nucleotide ribosomal RNA is filed under the name uncultured bacterium. RNAcentral's name for it is "partial 16S ribosomal RNA". It matches the Rfam family "Bacterial small subunit ribosomal RNA", at positions 28 to 507 of the family's 1533-position model. The record is from RNAcentral.